Non-coding RNA from Podarcis lilfordi (Lilford's wall lizard), 78 nucleotides. The record is from the annotation of a GenBank genome assembly. NCBI's taxonomy places the organism in Eukaryota, Metazoa, Chordata, Lepidosauria, Squamata, Lacertidae.
AGGGAGGUAGCUGCAGCUCUGUAGUAGAGCAUCUCCUUUGCAUGCAGAAGUUCCCAAGUUCGAUCCCUGGCAUCCCCA